CAUUUACCAAUAUAAAAUUUUCGCUAAGCUGAUGCUAGAUGUCUCGUGACAAAAGAUGUAAGAGAAGGAACAUCGAUAAUAUGUUCGUACAAAGAACAAGGGUAUUAUCUUUUGCUAUUCUUCAAGUUCUACAAAGUAUCAUUCAAAUUAGGGUCAGACUGUACCGAGGUUAGGCCAGGUUGCUAGGCUAUGGUUACAGUGUAUACGUAUCCUCGUAGAUAUAUGUAUGUCAGAAUAAUAAAGUACCUAUACAAUAGACUUUUAUGAGUAUACACAUACGUAUAUUUUGAUCUUCAGAUAUUUUAUUCAUCAGACAACAAUUUAUUUACGUUAGAACCUGCAUUUAUCGUAACAGUAGUCUUAGUUAUAUCAAAUUCAUUUGUUAUAUAAAAUACUCUGUUAGCUUGUUGACGUUGCUAUAGGGUGUUGCUUUAAAUCUUUCCUAUAUUCCCAUUUUAAGUAAAAAUUUAUUCUUAGACAUAUCUUGUCAUAUAUAAAUUAUUUAGCUCUGUUUACAUUGCGAAUUGAAUCAAUAGAAAAUCAGAUUAGAAGAUCUUUAUAUCCAAUUACUAACUGACAGGGGAACGAGGCUAAUACGAAGCCAUGAUUUUAAAAAAUGCGGUUGCUUUGGACGUUCAUGAAAUCCCUCUAGACACACGUUGAUAAAAAUGAGACACUUUCACUAACGAUUUGUAAAGAAAUGCAAAUUGUGAGGUCUUUAGACCGAAAUGAAUUUUAAAAAUAUGUGGAACAAGGAAAUUAGACGAAAAUUACUGUUUCGAUUAACAUUAAAAUAAACAUUGCAAAGAGGAUAAUACAAAUAAUUAUUUUAACAAAUUUGUCAACUAAUUCUAUUACGUUUUUUAUUACAUUCUAUGUAAAACUAUUAUUAU
RNAcentral lists this unclassified non-coding RNA (893 nucleotides) under Bombus terrestris (buff-tailed bumblebee). RNAcentral describes it as "misc RNA ENSBTSG00005022315.1". The record is from RNAcentral. Lineage: Eukaryota; Metazoa; Arthropoda; Insecta; Hymenoptera; Apidae.